AUUGAACGCUGGCGGCAGGCCUAACACAUGCAAGUCGAACGAGUGGCGGACGGGUGAGUAAUGUCUGGGAAAAUGCCUGAUGGAGGGGGAUAACUACUGGAAACGGUAGCUAAUACCGCAUACCAUCAGAUGUGCCCCGAUGGGAUUAGUUUGAUGGUGGGGUAACGGCGCACCAAGGCAACGAUCCCUAGCUGGUCUGAGAGGAUGACCAGCCACACUGGCACUGAGGCACGGUCCAGACUCCUACGAAGGGCAGCAGUGAGGAAUAUAGCACAAUGGGCGCAAGCCUGAUGCAGCCAUGCCGCGUGUAUGAAGAGGGCCUUCGGGUUGUAAAGUACUUUCAGCGGGGAGGCGUUACCCGCAGAAGAAGCACCGGCUAACUCCGUGCCAGCCGCCGCGGUAAUUC
Molecule: ribosomal RNA, 406 nt
Filed under: uncultured bacterium
Lineage: Bacteria
Description: partial 16S ribosomal RNA
Rfam family: Bacterial small subunit ribosomal RNA
Source: RNAcentral